Long non-coding RNA from Phyllostomus discolor (pale spear-nosed bat), 1216 nucleotides. RefSeq lists it as uncharacterized. The transcript has 4 exons. The record is from RefSeq and is a predicted model, not a curated record. Lineage: Eukaryota; Metazoa; Chordata; Mammalia; Chiroptera; Phyllostomidae.
AGGUCCUGACCUGACUAAGCAGUGGGACUGUACUAGUCAAGGUGGCUUGGAUCAUGAGAGACGGUUCGGAAGUCAUCAUGUAGAUGAUCAUGUAACCAGCCACAGCAACCGUCUUCCACUCCAUCAGCUCAGUCCAUAAAAAUCCUGACAUGGGUUCUCUUUCGGGGUGAAGGCUGGAGGGCUCAUCCAGAGGCCCAUACAAGGAACCCUCUUCACUUCUCAAUGACCUUGACAGCACCGUACUGCAAUCCUGUCACCACAUGGAAAAUCUGAAAACCAACUUUUAAAAUCAAAAGCUUUUGGACACUGUACCUGAAUUCCUGGUUUGCCCUGACCUGGUGCUUAGUUUCUCCCUGGGCCCUCCAACUGCCCUGCUCCAGCUGACCUUCCUCCUUGGUGGUGACAAGGAUAAUAUAAUGGAGAAGUUCAGUACCUUUAGAAAUACUAUAGAACCCCCCUUUACCCCUCACCACCCAGAACUGGAAAUGACAGAAACUUCAGGCAGAAGAGGCCAGUGAGUGAAAAAGAUAUCAUGCUGUUGACCUACUUGGCCUCUGAUCAGUUGUAUUCCAGACAACUGUGUGUGUAAGUGUGUGUACACAUGUGUGUUUGUGCAUUCAGAGUGAGUGGUAAGGGGCAAUCGGCAAGACAAAAAAUAAGGCAAUUUUGCUGAGUCAUUAUUUCCACAUCACCUUCUCUUUCAUUUUCCAGUAAACUCCCACUAAAGCAGACACACAGAGAUUUGGAACAUGGUGAGUUGCUUGCAUCACAGCCACAUGGGGCCUCUUCCUUCAAAGAAUGCAUGGAAACCAUUUAUCAGAGGAGUCAAGUCCAAAUGCACUCACAUUUUUACCUUUGUCAAGUGCAGCUUUUCAUGACUACAGGGGUCUGUGAGAAUGUUGUUUGAAAAUAAAUGUAGAGGUUUGGUGAAGCUGCCAGAAUCCAGACCUUCACCUUUUAAAUCGCAUUAGUAAUGAUGGUAUAUGUGGUCACUGGACAAAAUUGACUUGAAAUAUCAUCAGCAAAGAAAAAUAAGUCAAGAUAUGUUUCCUUCUGGUGUCUUGCUCUGAAAGCAGGUUUAAAAGGCCCAGAAAUGAGAGGGGUUCAGAUCUGGGUUGUAUUUGUAACAGCAGUGAAUGAACAACAGCAAAAAUCCAUUCCUGAGCCACAGAGCUUGAAGGGCUUGAGAGGUCAAAUCACAUAAAUAACAGAAGUU